UGUUCGUUAUUUUUUUUUUUUAGGAAGACUAGAAAUAUGUUGCUCCCUUUUUCUCCCCCACUCAAGCUUGAUGGUGGGAAUUGGCCCUGGAGCUGUUUACUGUCAGUUCCUGUCCAGCUUCACUAAAUUUGGUCUGGGGUCACAUCUUAGCUGGGGACUGUGGGGUUCUGUGGUCCCUUCUCGACUUGGCCCAGCUCCACUUGAAUGAUAUUGUUGUCAAAUUGCUAUAAUAGAAUCCAGUUGAUGGACAGACUAUCCAAUGAAUCCAUUAUGUUGGUGGUGGAGCUGGUGCAAAGAGCUCCAGAGCAGCUGCUGGCACUGACCCCCCUCCACCAGGCAGCCCUGGCAGAGAGGGCACUACAAAACCUGGUAAGAGUCCACCCUACCAGACUCAGAUUUGCUGCCCUGGGCAAUUCUUGCUCCUCAGACAAUGCUCUCUGACUGUCCUCCAACCCUCUACUUCUUGCUUUCUUGCUGCCAAACAGGUUCCUGUCUACAAGGCCUGGCCCGUUUUGCCUCUGGGUUCUGUUCCUUGAUAAUAUGCUUCACGUUACUUGUCCAUACCUCUUGGAGUCCGAGAAAUCUCUUGGAGUCCACCUCUCAGUCUUUCUGCCUGCUCCUAUCUGGUCUCAUUGCUUAAGAAAGUGAACAAAGGUAGUGAGCAUCAUAGGGUGCUGAGUUGGGAGCAGGAGGGAGGGAAGGUCAGGGGGCUUGGUGUCUUGAUCAAGGUGUCUGGUAUUCUGAGUCAGAAGUGCAUUGUCCAAGUUCUGAUGCUCUUCUCCAGGCUCCAAAGGAGACUCCAGUCUCAGGGGAAGUGCUGGAGACCUUAGGCCCUUUGGUUGGAUUCCUGGGGACAGAGAGCACACGACAGAUCCCCCUACAGAUCCUGCUGUCCCAUCUCAGUCAGCUGUAAGGCUUCUGCCUAGGAGAGACAUUUGCCACAGAGCUGGGAUGGCUGCUAUUGCAGGAGUCUGUUCUUGGGAAACCAGAGUUGUGGAGCCAGGAUGAAGUAGAGCAAGCUGGACGCCUAGUAUUCACUCUGUCUACUGAGGCAAUUUCCUUGAUCCCCAGGGUGAGAUGAAGGAAGAAGGGAAGGGAGUAAAUGCAUAGAGGGGACUGGUGAGCUGGUUAUGGGGACCCGUGGCCAACGAGGGCAAAGGAUAUGAAGCCUAGAUCUGGGGGGAUACUGCGAAACAGAGACAGGACUUUGGACUUAUAGCUAUAGCAGCAGGUCCUGAUCUGUCC
RNAcentral lists this long non-coding RNA (1245 nucleotides) under Homo sapiens (human). Its description in RNAcentral is "non-protein coding lnc-CATSPER2-2:1". The record is from RNAcentral. Lineage: Eukaryota; Metazoa; Chordata; Mammalia; Primates; Hominidae.